This 523-nucleotide ribosomal RNA is filed under the name uncultured bacterium. RNAcentral describes it as "bacterial SSU rRNA". It matches the Rfam family "Bacterial small subunit ribosomal RNA", at positions 8 to 526 of the family's 1533-position model. The record is from RNAcentral.
AGAGUUUGAUCCUGGCUCAGAUUGAACGCUAGCGGGAUGCUUUACACAUGCAAGUCGAACGGCAGCGCGGGGGCAACCCUGGCGGCGAGUGGCGAACGGGUGAGUAAUACAUCGGAACGUGUCCUGGAGUGGGGGAUAGCCCGGCGAAAGCCGGAUUAAUACCGCAUACGCUCUGUGGAGGAAAGCGGGGGAUCUUCGGACCUCGCGCUCAAGGGGCGGCCGAUGGCAGAUUAGCUAGUUGGUGGGGUAAAGGCCUACCAAGGCGACGAUCUGUAGCUGGUCUGAGAGGACGACCAGCCACACUGGGACUGAGACACGGCCCAGACUCCUACGGGAGGCAGCAGUGGGGAAUUUUGGACAAUGGGGGCAACCCUGAUCCAGCAAUGCCGCGUGUGUGAAGAAGGCCUUCGGGUUGUAAAGCACUUUUGUCCGGAAAGAAAACCGCUUCUCUAAUACAGAGGCGGGAUGACGGUACCGGAAGAAUAAGCACCGGCUAACUACGUGCCAGCAGCCGCGGUAAUUC